AUGCAUAACUGUGGAAACCUUAGUGUUCUUGAUGUUAUUAUUUUGUUCCACGGUUUAUUCAGUGAUAACUCUGUUAGUAUGGGCGGUAUUAUUGCUAAACGGUUAAGUCUGAACUGUACAAAGGUCCCCAUCUUUGGAGGCAUCUAUGCUUCACGCCUAGCUGCACAUUUUAACAUACCUAUUAGGCAUUAUGAGAAGGAAGAAAAAUUGCUGCCCACUGUUUAUUUAGAUUACAAGAGUAUGGUGGCACACGAUUUUAUUGUUAAGAAUAGGGAAGGGAAGCUUAAAUACAAAUUGUUCUUUCAUAAACAUCAUCCUGAGACUAUCAACCUGCUUGCUUCUUCCUUGUUUGAUUUAUCUGCAGGCAGUACCUUGUUCCGUUAG
RNAcentral lists this ribosomal RNA (384 nucleotides) under Triticum aestivum (bread wheat). Its description in RNAcentral is "partial small subunit ribosomal RNA". The record is from RNAcentral. Lineage: Eukaryota; Viridiplantae; Streptophyta; Magnoliopsida; Poales; Poaceae.